Molecule: ribosomal RNA, 504 nt
Filed under: Triticum aestivum (bread wheat)
Lineage: Eukaryota; Viridiplantae; Streptophyta; Magnoliopsida; Poales; Poaceae
Description: partial small subunit ribosomal RNA
Source: RNAcentral
AUGUCAGUUCGCGCAGAGCAUAUCAGUCUUUCAGUUCGUGAGCUCAUCAGUUCACCGAUGGGAUCCGCAGCUCCCAGGCGGUUCACAACCGCCGCCCUAGUCCGUUCAUCACUGCCAAUCGAGGCCGUUCGACAACGCAGCGUUGAGGUCGGUCAACGACGCAAUGUGGCCAUGGAUGCGCCCAACGAAGGACAGCGAAAGGCAAAAAACAAACUAGUGCAGCUGCUUGCCUCCACUUCAUAUCCCAUACCAGAAAACAUCCGUCGGCCCCUCUGUUUUCUUAAAAUUUCGAGUCGGACAAUUGCAAAAAUUCAGAGGAGACAACGCGGGAAGUUCAAAGAAAAUUCGGACUUGUGCAGUGGUGAAGGAGGAAGCAGCAGUGCCGCCGGGUCCAGGAUUCCAGGUGGUUCAACGUGUCGAGCGGUAGCAGCGCUUGCUCCCAAUGGUUGCCCGCGCAAGGAGGAUACAGGGAUGUUACAUUGCUGGAGGAGCAGUAGCAUGUAG